UCCUCCCUCAAACCUCGGGUUUGGUGUUGGACCGGGUUGUUCGUCUGAACAACUGGUCUCAAAGACAAUGACGGCGUCCGUGGGACCCUCGGUGCAACGAGCUUCUUUGUGAGCACGCGUCGAGUUUCAAGGACCUUCCGGGCCGGUCUCCCUUAUUAUUCUUCUAA
RNAcentral lists this unclassified non-coding RNA (167 nucleotides) under uncultured Knufia. RNAcentral describes it as "sequence contains ITS2". Lineage: Eukaryota; Fungi; Ascomycota; Eurotiomycetes; Chaetothyriales; Chaetothyriaceae. The record is from RNAcentral.